This 253-nucleotide ribosomal RNA is filed under the name uncultured bacterium. Its description in RNAcentral is "partial 16S ribosomal RNA". It matches the Rfam family "Bacterial small subunit ribosomal RNA", at positions 524 to 776 of the family's 1533-position model. The record is from RNAcentral.
GACGAACCGAGCGAACGUUAUUCGGAAUCACUGGGCUUAAAGGGCGCGUAGGCGGGCGGCCAAGUCAGAGGUGAAAGCCCCCAGCUCAACUGGGGAAGUGCCUUUGAUACUGGUCAUCUUGAGGGAGAUAGGGGCGUGCGGAACUUCCGGUGGAGCGGUGAAAUGCGUAGAUAUCGGAAGGAACACCGGUGGCGAAAGCGGCGCGCUGGAUCUCUUCUGACGCUGAGGCGCGAAAGCCAGGGGAGCGAACAGG